Molecule: long non-coding RNA, 1293 nt
Organism: Salmo salar (Atlantic salmon)
Lineage: Eukaryota; Metazoa; Chordata; Actinopteri; Salmoniformes; Salmonidae
Source: RefSeq, a predicted model, not a curated record
UCCAUCGAGUUAUUAAACCUCUUUGAUACUGGCUAGCUAGUAGCCAGUAGCUAUCUAGUGUUUGGGAAAGAAAAGAAAAUUCAACAAGCUUUUGGAACUAAAUAACAGUUUAAUCGUUAAAUUUAUCACCACUGAACUCUUAGAAAUACCGAACAAUAAUACACUAGCAGCACACAUUCAGUCGACGUGGCGCACCAAUUUUCUAGCCUGGAUUUUGAAUCUUGCUUGCAGCCAGAUGGAUGAUUUGCAGCAGACAAUAGAGCUCGGUAGCUAGAUAGCUUAGCUAACUUUGUGACGGUCGUCAAAAGGAGUAGACCAAGGUGCAGCGUGCUUAGGUUUCUGGCUGUAAUGGGUGCCAAGGACCUGAAGUCGACAGUGUGGCAGAUGCUACAUUGUAUUCUGUCAAACAGUCUUGCUGUCACCACAACCUGGGUCGUUUAAGACUAUGUGGGAUUCAAAUGGAUCUCAAUGUUCCUUCACUACGAUUUUGAAUGCGGGAGUUGGCAGCUCACAUGGGAGAGGGAUCCACUGCAGUGAGGGUCAACAUCAAGUCUCGGGCCACCAGUCUCAAAGCCAGCCUCUACCCCCAAGCCACAAGAAUGUUGCAACAGCUGAACCCUGGGCAGAUUACUGCACCACACACUUACCAUUUAUUCAUAUUCUGUACACAAUUAAAUCAGUUUGGUCUCCCGGACAGUUUUGUUUCCCGUGUGUAUCAAGAAUGGUCCACCAACCAUAAUACAUCCAGCCAAAUUGACACAACAGUGGGAAGCAUUGGCAUGGGCCAGUAUCCCUAUGGAAUGCUCUCGACACCUUAUAGAGUCCAUGCCCCGAUGAAUUGAGGCUGCAACUCAGUAUUAGGAAGGUGUUCAUAAUGUUUUGUACUUUCAGUGUAUACUUUCAUAUAAUAAUAUGAUGUAACUACACUCUACUUAUUCCACUCACUAUACACAUGGGAAAACAAUGUCCAUAGCCUAGUAUAUCCCUAUAGGACUUUCCCCCUCCAUCUUAUUUUUAUUUAUGUUUUAUUUUAACUGCAUGCUUCUUGUAUUUCAUUGUCUUUUUAUUAUAUAUUUACAAUGUUGCUUAUUUUAUUACUAUGACACCAUUGCACUGUGUGAGAAGCCUGCAAGUACAUGACAAAAACUGUUUGACUGGAUUUGAUUCGUUGUCACCUGGACUGCCCACUGAUAUUUUGCAAACACAAUAUUUUACAGAACUUUUCCAAAUUAACAUUGAAUACAAUGCACCUUGAAAAAUAAAAAGCAAUAAAUACAGUGGCGUGUGAAAGUA